AGGACGAACGCUGGCGGCGUGCUUAACACAUGCAAGUCGAGCGAGGCUCCUCCUUCGGGAGGAAGCCCUAGCGGCGAACGGGUGAGUAACACGUGGGCAACCUGCCCCUAGCACUGGGAUAACCCCGGGAAACCGGGGCUAAUACCGGAUACGACUUCGGAAGGCAUCUUCUGAAGUGGAAAAGGUUACUGGCUAGGGAUGGGCCCGCGGCCUAUCAGCUUGUUGGUGGGGUAAUGGCCCACCAAGGCGACGACGGGUAGCCGGCCUGAGAGGGCGACCGGCCACACUGGGACUGAGACACGGCCCAGACUCCUACGGGAGACAGCAGUGGGGAAUAUUGCACAAUGGGCGAAAGCCUGAUGCAGCGACGCCGCGUGAGGGAUGACGGCCUUCGGGUUGUAAACCUCUUUCAGCAGGGACGAAGCGAAAGUGACGGUACCUGCAGAAGAGCACCGGCCAACUACGCGCCAGCAGCCGC
This 478-nucleotide ribosomal RNA is filed under the name uncultured bacterium. Its description in RNAcentral is "SSU rRNA". It matches the Rfam family "Bacterial small subunit ribosomal RNA", at positions 26 to 518 of the family's 1533-position model. The record is from RNAcentral.